UGUUGAGCCGUCACACGGA
RNAcentral lists this small nuclear RNA (19 nucleotides) under Arabidopsis thaliana (thale cress). RNAcentral describes it as "snRNA_09196". Lineage: Eukaryota; Viridiplantae; Streptophyta; Magnoliopsida; Brassicales; Brassicaceae. The record is from RNAcentral.